Molecule: small nuclear RNA, 163 nt
Organism: Paramormyrops kingsleyae
Lineage: Eukaryota; Metazoa; Chordata; Actinopteri; Osteoglossiformes; Mormyridae
Gene: U1
Rfam family: U1 spliceosomal RNA
About the family: U1 is a small nuclear RNA (snRNA) component of the spliceosome (involved in pre-mRNA splicing).
Source: Ensembl
AUGCUUACCUGGCAGGGGAGAUGCCAUGAUCAGAAAGGCAGUCACCCAGGGUGAGACCCAGCCAUUGCCCUGCGGCUGUGCUGCCCCCCACCAAUUCCCCAAAUGUGGGAGUCUCCACUGCAUAAUUUCUGGUAGUGGCGGGUUGUGUUCGCGCUCUCCCCUG